Non-coding RNA from Vitis vinifera (wine grape), 78 nucleotides. Lineage: Eukaryota; Viridiplantae; Streptophyta; Magnoliopsida; Vitales; Vitaceae. The record is from Rfam.
AGGAGCCGUAUGAAGUGAAAAUCCCAUGUACAGUUCUAUAAUAGCGAUGGGAGCAGUGAUGUUAUCACCGACUAUGAC